Pseudophryne corroboree (corroboree frog) is the source of this 1524-nucleotide long non-coding RNA. RefSeq lists it as uncharacterized. The record is from RefSeq and is a predicted model, not a curated record. NCBI's taxonomy places the organism in Eukaryota, Metazoa, Chordata, Amphibia, Anura, Myobatrachidae. The transcript is spliced from 2 exons.
AAAGCUCUCAGAAAAUUUUAUAACAAAGUUCACGACCACAACAGGAGGAAAAGUGGUGCUGCUAGAAUGGAGUGGGCUUACUAUGAUUAGUGCAAUGAAGUGUUUGGCAAUUCUGCACUGGUUAAUCCCAUUGCCAUUUCAUCGUCCAGUUGUGCGUCCUCACGAAGCGCUACCCCGGAGAACAGCCAAUCCAUUCCACCAAUGCUCUGUGAUGACAUCACCGAGAUCAGCGACACUGAUCCGAUGGCUGCUGUGGGGGACCCAGUGCCCAAUACUAUUGAGGUUGAUGCCAGUGGAAGCAGCACAGGGACUCCGGCUGGGACACUGACUUCUGUGCAGACUGAGACCCUAAAAUUGCGUAGGAACAUCUGUGACGUACCUGAACGGAAGAAAAAAACUUCAAAGAUGGAGCAAGCUACGCGCAUAAUGACAAGACUCCUGGUCAAUCAGCUGCGAGGUUCCGAUGCUGAAAUGCUGGCACAGGAGGAUGCCCGACUCCAACGCUUUUUUGACAACGAGAAAGAGUUACAAAAUUCAUUUCUCAUGCAACUUGUGGGUAUGCAUGAACGCAUUUCUAGGGAAAACAGAGAGGCACAGAUGUCUUUUCUUAACGGUCUGGUGCCUAGAUUACACAAUCCGCACCCUCCACACCCUUUUCCAGUGUAUCCUCCUCACUAUUCUGAGGGCUCAUUUUUCCAACUACCAGCAUCAUAGCAGAGGCAUGCAGUUUAUGGAAACAAACCCCUCAAAUCCACCUAAUGCUACUCCACAUGGCACUGUGCAUAAUAGUCCAGAUGGCGCAGUGCACAGUUAUCUAGCUGGCACAGGGAAUAAUUUUUCACACUGCACUGUGCGUAGCAGUCCACAUGCCAAUAAGCAGACCAGUCCUGAUGGUACACUGCAUAGCAGUCCACAUACCACUGUGCAAAAUAGUCCAGAUGGCACAGGAUAAUCCUCCACAUGGCACUGCAUACUUGCCCAGAUGGCACAGGAAAUAAUCUUCCACAUGGCACUGUGUAUACUUAUCCAGAUGGCACUACUCAUAACCGUCCACUGGACAGCACUUCUUACAGACAGUUGUAAAUAAUAUUUUUCUUUGUAUUUUGUCUUUUUGAAAAUGUUAAUGUGUAUUCAGCACUUUACAGGCCUGUCAAGUACCCGGACCAUACCUGGCCGUUACCUCAGCCACUUCUACAGAUGGGGUGUCCGUUAGGCUGAAUGUACUGUACAUACAUUAUGCCCUCUAUUUAUGUGCCUACAGUGGCAAAUAAUCUUUUUUUCUUUAUCUUUUUGAAAAUGUUCAUGUGUAUUCAGCACUUUACAGGCCUGUCAAGUGCCCAGGCCAUACCUGCCCGUUACCUACACACAUUUUGGCCUAUUUAUGUGUCUGUCUACACACAUUAUGGCCUAUUUAUGUUAAAAAAUGUAACAAUCAUUUUAAACUGUUAUAUUUAAAAUGAUACAUGUGAGGUAACAUGUACAUAACUUUUUCAAAAACAAUAAAAACAAAACUUUUUUGCAACA